GACUCCUACGGGAGGCAGCAGUGGGGAAUAUUGCGCAAUGGGCGAAAGCCUGACGCAGCGACGCCGCGUGGGGGAUGACGGCCUUCGGGUUGUAAACCUCUUUCGCCAUCGACGAAGCCUUUGGGUGACGGUAGGUGGAGAAGAAGCACCGGCCAACUACGUGCCAGCAGCCGCGGUAAUACGUAGGGUGCGAGCGUUGUCCGGAAUUAUUGGGCGUAAAGAGCUCGUAGGCGGUGUGUCGCGUCGGUCGUGAAAACUUGGGGCUUAACUCUGAGCUUGCGGUCGAUACGGGCAUCACUUGAGUUCGGCAGGGGAGACUGGAAUUCCUGGUGUAGCGGUGAAAUGCAUAUAUAUCAGGACAAACACCGGUGGCGAAGGCGGGUCUCUGGGCCGAUACUGACGCUGAGGAGCGAAAGCGUGGGGAGCGAACAGGAUUAGAUACCCUGGUAGUCCACGCCGUAAACGGUGGGCGCUAGGUGUGGGGGCCAUUCCACGGUCUCUGUGCCGCAGCUAACGCAUUAAGCGCCCCGCCUGGGGAGUACGGCCGCAAGGCUAAAACUCAAAGGAAUUG
RNAcentral lists this ribosomal RNA (571 nucleotides) under uncultured Pseudonocardia sp. RNAcentral's name for it is "bacterial SSU rRNA". It matches the Rfam family "Bacterial small subunit ribosomal RNA", at positions 334 to 912 of the family's 1533-position model. Lineage: Bacteria; Bacillati; Actinomycetota; Actinomycetes; Pseudonocardiales; Pseudonocardiaceae. The record is from RNAcentral.